AUGGGCUUCGAGGAUGCCGAAUCAGGAUUGAUUCCUAGAGUUGAUGUCGGGGAUCUCUUAGGAGGAGAUAUCGUUGUUGUGGAGUCAGUCGUUGCUUCUAUCCAUGAAGCUCGCGUGGACUGCGAAGAUUUGAUUUCCUCUGAGCACACAACUGGCUCUAUGUAUGGUGAGCAUCCUGGCGCAGGGAGGCGCCUUUUGGAUGCAAUGCUGGGGGAAGAGGAAGCUGGCUCAUACAAUGGUGCUAGCGUGGUUGUUGCCGAUUCAAACGAUAGGCCACCUGAAGAUAUUAGCGAUGCAACCGUUCAGAGAGGAUGGAGAUGCAGAGGGCGUGUUCGUCUCCAACUCAAAAGGCUCCUGCUGGACUCAAAGGAUUAG
This 375-nucleotide ribosomal RNA is filed under the name Triticum aestivum (bread wheat). RNAcentral describes it as "partial small subunit ribosomal RNA". Lineage: Eukaryota; Viridiplantae; Streptophyta; Magnoliopsida; Poales; Poaceae. The record is from RNAcentral.